UAAUAAUGAUAUUCAUCACACAGUGGAUCAGUUUUUGUCCGUCACUAAAUAAAUGGGAUCACAUAAACAAAGCGGACAGAUGCAGACCUGUUGGUCAGGUGGCACCAGCUGCCGCCCUCCACUUUUCUGUUGUGAUUUGAUCUU
Etheostoma spectabile (orangethroat darter) is the source of this 144-nucleotide long non-coding RNA. RefSeq lists it as uncharacterized. The record is from RefSeq and is a predicted model, not a curated record. Lineage: Eukaryota; Metazoa; Chordata; Actinopteri; Perciformes; Percidae. The transcript has 3 exons.